UUAUACAAAGAUCAAAGAAGCGUGGUAAAACUGGUCUUCAAUGGUUUUAAUUCUGACCGAUUGUCUUGGUUUUCGAUGGAAAGAUUUAUUGGAAGUGAGAACUACCGAAGACUCGAUGAUCGAAAUUACAUCUAUUUUAAUAUUGAAGGAGAUUUUCGAUGCAAUAGAAGAUUUUUUAUUGACGAUUUUCUCGUGAUAAAUGACGGUAAUCCAGAAUGUGUAUAUAAUCAAGACAAUUUGCCACAGCUUAUAUGUUGCCAAGACAGGCAUAACGGUGAUUGUAAGUUCGCUGACACAAUGGAAAUACAUGUUAUGCUCCAGGAUGAACAAUUCAUCUAAUGGAUAUAUCUAUGAUAUUGUUAUUUUUCUGUUUUACCAACAAAGGACUAUAUUCUGUCAUAUCCAGUGCAACCCAAACGAAAAAAGAAAUUCUAAAAGGUAAUUGCAGACUUGAAAGCAAAAAUUAUCACCAUCUAAGACAACA
Saccostrea cuccullata (small rock oyster) is the source of this 484-nucleotide long non-coding RNA. RefSeq lists it as uncharacterized. The record is from RefSeq and is a predicted model, not a curated record. NCBI's taxonomy places the organism in Eukaryota, Metazoa, Mollusca, Bivalvia, Ostreida, Ostreidae. The transcript is spliced from 3 exons.